UCAGUAACACGUGGACAACUGCCUUAGGUUGGGUAUAAACCCGGGAAACUGGGUAUAAUACCCGAUAGGUCUCGAUUGCUGGAAUGCAUCGAGAUUUAAAGCUCCGGCGCCUAAGGAUGGGUCUGCGGCCUAUCAGGUAGUAGUGGGUGUAGCGUACCUACUAGCCUACGACGGGUACGGGUUGUGAGAGCAAGAGCCCGGAGAUGGAUUCUGAGACACGAAUCCAGGCCCUACGGGGUGCAGCAGGCGCGAAAACUUUACAAUGCUGGCAACAGCGAUAAGGGAACCUCGAGUGCCAGGUUACAAAUCUGGCUGUCGAGAUGCCUAAAAAGCAUUUCAUAGCAAGGGCCGGGCAAGACCGGUGCCAGCCGCCGCGGUAACACCGGCGGCUCGAGUGGUAACCGUUAUUAUUGGGUCUAAAGGGUCUGUAGCCGGCCGGAUAAGUCUCUUGAGAAAUCUGGCAGCUUAACUGUCAGGCUUUC
Molecule: ribosomal RNA, 482 nt
Filed under: uncultured archaeon
Lineage: Archaea
Description: bacterial SSU rRNA
Rfam family: Archaeal small subunit ribosomal RNA
Source: RNAcentral